GGCAAAUAUGAUUUAAAAUGCAAUUAAACACAUAAUAGAAUUGCAUGAAACAACACUUUUACAGCAUUUUCAUUUUCAUAAACAGGAGUGAACAUUGUCUCUAGAGAAAAUUUACCAUUCCUUCAGCCACUUUAAGGAAAAUACAAAUAGAGCAAUUACUACAGAUAAAAUAGAAACAAAUAUAUCAUCAAGAUUCAGAAAACACAAUCACUGCCUUAGUGAGAAAUGUGAUUAAAACUUAUUUUUGCUUUAGCAACAGUCUCUAAGAAAAAUACAUACCUUAAAAAUGCUUGAUGUCUCUACU
RNAcentral lists this long non-coding RNA (304 nucleotides) under Bos taurus (domestic cattle). Its description in RNAcentral is "long non-coding RNA NONBTAT016408". Lineage: Eukaryota; Metazoa; Chordata; Mammalia; Artiodactyla; Bovidae. The record is from RNAcentral.